This 1350-nucleotide ribosomal RNA is filed under the name uncultured prokaryote. RNAcentral's name for it is "partial 16S ribosomal RNA". It matches the Rfam family "Archaeal small subunit ribosomal RNA". The record is from RNAcentral.
UCGCCCUUCGGUUGAUCCUGCCGGAGGCUACCGCUAUUGGAGUUCGAUUAAGCCAUGCGAGUCGCGAGAAAUUAGAUUCUCGGCGUACCGCUCAGUAACACGUGGGUAACCUGCCCUAUGCUGGAUAAUAACCUCGGGAAACUGAGAAUAAUGAUCCAUAGUUCACUACGCCUGGAACGGUGAGUGGAUGAAAGCUCCGGCGGCAUAGGAUGGGCCUGCGGCGUAUCAGGUUGUAGGGGGUGUAACGUACCCUCUAGCCCUCUACGCGUACGGGUGUUGGGAGACAUAGCCCGGAGAUGGAUUCUGAGACACGAAUCCAGACCCUACGGGGUGCAGCAGGCGCGAAAACUUGGCAAUGCGAGAAAUCGUGACCAGGGAACUCCAAGUGCAUCGGGUAAGACCGGUGCUUUUCUUGACUCUAAAUAGGUCUUGGAAUAAGGGGUGGGUAAGGACGGUGCCAGCCGCCGCGGUAAUACCGGCGCCUCAAGUGGUAGUCGCUUUUAUUGGGCCUAAAACGUCCGUAGCCGGUCUGGUACAUUCGUGGGUAAAUCAACCAGCUCAACUGGUUGAAUUCUGCGAGCACGGCCAGACUUGGGACCGGGAGAGGUGUGGGGUACUCUCAGGGUAGGGGUAAAAUCCUGUCAUCCUGAGCGGACCACCUGUUGCGAAGGCGCCACACUAGAACGGAUCCGACGGUCAGGGACGAAGCCUAGGGGCACGAACCGGAUUAGAUACCCGGGUAGUCCUAGGUGUAAACGCUGUGGACUUGAUGUUGGGGGCGCUCCGAGCGCACUCAGUGUCGAAGCGAAGGUGAUAAGUCCGCCGCCUGGGAAGUACGUACGCAAGUAUGAAACUUAAAGGAAUUGGCGGGGGGGCACCAAAAGGGGUGAAGCCUGCGGUUCAAUUGGAGUCAACGCCAGAAAUCUUACCCGGAGAGACAGCAGAAUGAAGGUCAAGCUGAAGACUUUACCAGACAAGCUGAGAGGUGGUGCAUGGCCGUCGCCAGCUCGUGCCGUGAGAUGUCCUGUUAAGUCAGGUAACGAGCGAGAUCCCUGCCUCUAGUUGCCACCAUUACUCUCAGGAGUAGUGGGGCGAAUUAGCGGGACCGCCGCAGUUAAUGCGGAGGAAGGAAGGGGCCACGGCAGGUCAGUAUGCCCCGAAACUCUGGGGCCACACGCGGGCUGCAAUGGUAAUGACAAUGGGUCCCGAAUCCGAAAGGAAGAGGUAAUCCUCAAACAUUACCACAGUUAUGACUGAGGGCUGCAACUCGCCCUCACGAAUAUGGAAUCCCUAGUAACUGCGUGUCAUUAUCGCGCGGUGAAUACGUCCCUGCUCCUUGCACACACCGCC